This 911-nucleotide ribosomal RNA is filed under the name uncultured bacterium. RNAcentral's name for it is "bacterial SSU rRNA". It matches the Rfam family "Bacterial small subunit ribosomal RNA", at positions 33 to 928 of the family's 1533-position model. The record is from RNAcentral.
ACGCUGGCGGCGUGCCUAAUACAUGCAAGUAGAACGCUGAAGGAGGAGCUUGCUUCUCUGGAUGAGUUGCGAACGGGUGAGUAACGCGUAGGUAACCUGCCUGGUAGCGGGGGAUAGCUAUUGGAAACGAUAGCUAAUACCGCAUAAGAGUAGAUGUUGCAUGACAUUUGCUUAAAAGGUGCAAUUGCAUCACUACCAGAUGGACCUGCGUUGUAUUAGCUAGUUGGUGGGGUAACGGCUCACCAAGGCGACGAUACAUAGCCGACCUGAGAGGGUGAUCGGCCACACUGGGGCUGAGACACGGCCCAGACUCCUACGGGAGGCAGCAGUAGGGAAUCUUCGGCAAUGGACGGAAGUCUGACCGAGCAACGCCGCGUGAGUGAAGAAGGUUUUCGGAUCGUAAAGCUCUGUUGUAAGAGAAGAACGAGUGUGAGAGUGGAAAGUUCACACUGUGACGGUAUCUUACCAGAAAGGGACGGCUAACUACGUGCCAGCAGCCGCGGUAAUACGUAGGUCCCGAGCGUUGUCCGGAUUUAUUGGGCGUAAAGCGAGCGCAGGCGGUUAGAUAAGUCUGAAGUUAAAGGCUGUGGCUUAACCAUAGUACGCUUUGGAAACUGUUUAACUUGAGUGCAAGAGGGGAGAGUGGAAUUCCAUGUGUAGCGGUGAAAUGCGUAGAUAUAUGGAGGAACACCGGUGGCGGAAGCGGCUCUCUGGCUUGUAACUGACGCUGAGGCUCGAAAGCGUGGGGAGCAAACAGGAUUAGAUACCCUGGUAGUCCACGCCGUAAACGAUGAGUGCUAGGUGUUAGACCCUUUCCGGGGUUUAGUGCCGUAGCUAACGCAUUAAGCACUCCCGCCUGGGGAGUACGACCGCAAGGUUGAAACUCAAAGGAAUGACGGGGGCCCGCACAA